RNAcentral lists this long non-coding RNA (278 nucleotides) under Elaeis guineensis (African oil palm). Its description in RNAcentral is "long non-coding RNA (EGUI_LNC061677)". Lineage: Eukaryota; Viridiplantae; Streptophyta; Magnoliopsida; Arecales; Arecaceae. The record is from RNAcentral.
CAACACUUCCUCCUCUAGCAGUUCUAGGAGUUCGUCCGUUCCAGCCCCCCAAAAUCUUAGUUCCGUAGAUGAACCCCAUCCGAUCUUUGUACCAGACACCAUUCCUAGCACUCUGACUUCGAACAAACUCUCGCUAAUCAGGAUUCACUACGGGGUUCCUCUGGAGUAUGAGUUUGAGCUUUCCGGGCCAACUGAUCAGGCUAGCGUCCCUCCUCCAGGCCGCUUCUACUUAUAUCAGGAAGCUUUCCGCACCGGGCUUCAACUUCCUCUUCCCCCCU